Molecule: long non-coding RNA, 1496 nt
Filed under: Equus caballus (horse)
Lineage: Eukaryota; Metazoa; Chordata; Mammalia; Perissodactyla; Equidae
Description: lncRNA (ENSECAG00000054490.1)
Source: RNAcentral
CAGAUACAUCAGCAAAGACAUGGUGAGAGCGUGAAGACUUUGAAACAAGAAAAUGAAUGAAAUUCCAUCACAAGUAUGUUAAAGGAGCUUUACCGCCUUAGGAAAAAUUCUGGAGGCCAGAGUCUGAAAUCAAGGUGUCAGCAGGGCCGUGCUCCCUCUGAAGACUCCAAGAACCGCCUUUUCCAGCUUCUGGUGGCCCCAGGCAUUCCUUGGCUUGUGGCUGUGUCCCUCCAAUCUCUGCUUCCAUCUUCUUCCCUGUGUGUCUCAGAUCUCCUUUUUCCUCUCUCUUAUAAGAACCCCUGUUGCUAGAUUUAGGGCCAACCUGGAUAAUCAGAAUAUCUCAUCUUGAGACCCUUAACUUCAUUACAUCUGCAAAGAUCCUUUUACAAAUAAGGUCACAUUUACAGAUUCCGAGUGGACCUAUCUUUUAGGGGGUCAACACUCAACACACUAUAGUAUAAAUAUUAGGAUUUCCCAUCAACACUAAGAUCACAGGCCACAUCACCCGCGUCUUCUCUGGGCCAGGCCUCUGCAGAGCACCCACAGACCUAAGUGCCCACAGCUGGGACAGGAGGCCAGACCACAGCUUAGAUCAACUCUCCGGAACUCAUGGGGAAAGCGGUCCUGGAGAUCAGGUGACCCAACCCCGUCACUAGCCUGGCAGGGGAAAGGGAGGCCCCCAGAGGAGGCCUUCCCGGGGUAGGCAGGCUCUUCCCUGAGAUCUCCCUCCUGCUGCCUCUCAGCAGGCCUUGAGAGGGCAUCUCGUGUGUGCCUGGGCAGUGCUCGCUGCUGGGACAAUUGUUACAUAAAGCCCCCCCUCUCCCUUGUGGUCUCUCCCGGCAGCCACAGGCGUCAUCCUGCUCCUGCUCCUGCUCUCGGGGCUGCCCAGACUUCGAUAAGGGGAUGCAGAGGGUUCUCCCAUUGCCCGACAGCCCAGAGACACACACACUAGCAGGAGGCAGUGGACCCUGAAGCUAAAGUCCUGGGUUCGAGCCCUGACUACCAGGCCUGUCAUUUCAGGCCACUUCAUUGAGCACGCCCCUUUGUGUAAACGAGUGCAUCUGUACUGACUUUUGACCAGCCUCCCAGUCCUGAGAUUUGUUGUUUCGCAAACGACACAGGCAGUCCUUACACUAGCUCACACGCACACACGCCUGCUUUGCCGUGCCCUGCCAAUUUCUCAAAAACAGAAGAUGCGGCUCCUCCCCAGGCUGGCACCUGGCUUUGAAGAUGUUGGAGAUGCGGCUGAUGGCCUGUGUUCCUGUAAAGAAGGGCAUCUCAAAGUCACCUGCCGCACCAUCUAAGCGCUCAGAUGGCCAGGAACCUGCUCGGUGGAACAGCCCAGUGCAGAGUUUCGCCGUGGAUUUUUCCAGAGACAACACGAUGUGAUAUCACAACAGAUUGAAUGCAGACGCAGUUACAAGAAUCCAGCUGUCUUGUAUUAAGCCUGACAUUAAAGAGAUUUACAAAAACGUAAAACAAUGUCGCUCUUCUCA